This is a long non-coding RNA of Alexandromys fortis (reed vole), 491 nucleotides long. RefSeq lists it as uncharacterized. The record is from RefSeq and is a predicted model, not a curated record. The transcript has 3 exons. NCBI's taxonomy places the organism in Eukaryota, Metazoa, Chordata, Mammalia, Rodentia, Cricetidae.
GCAGGUGGCACUGUUGAGUCGGCACUGGAAGAACCUGACUGAGCUCCACCGGGACCUGGAGGGGGUCAACCCUUGGGUUUUUCUUCCAGAACCCAGAGCCCCGGAGCGGAUCUCACUCUAGCCCUGGCUGGCCUGAGACUACCAUGUAGACCAGGCUGGCCUCAGAGAUCUGCCUACAUCAACUCCCCAAGUGCUGGGAAUAAAGAAGAGGGCACCAGAUCUCACCAUAGAUGGCUGUGAGCCACCAUGUGGUCGCCGGGAACCGAACCCAGGACCUCUGGAAGAUCAGUCAGUGCUCCAAACCUCUGAGCCAUCUCUCCAGCCCUAGGUGUGUGUUUUGAAGAUUAUGCCCGAGCUUGCUUUCUGAUGCAGCCUCCUCCUCCUCCUCUUCCACCACCACCCAGCACCUCAAUGUUCUGCUCCCCCUUGGCCCAGAAUCAACAGAGCCAAAUGGACUGAGAUCUCUGGAACCAUGAGCCAAAAUAAAGACU